This 507-nucleotide ribosomal RNA is filed under the name uncultured Glomus. RNAcentral describes it as "SSU rRNA". It matches the Rfam family "Eukaryotic small subunit ribosomal RNA", at positions 569 to 1078 of the family's 1831-position model. The record is from RNAcentral. Lineage: Eukaryota; Fungi; Glomeromycota; Glomeromycetes; Glomerales; Glomeraceae.
AGCAGCCGCGGUAAUUCCAGCUCCAAUAGCGUAUAUUAAAGUUGCUGCAGUUAAAAAGCUCGUAGUUGAAUUUCGGGACCAUCAUGUCGGUCGUGCCUCGGUACGUACUGGCAUUGUUGGUUUCUACCUUCUGACGAACCAUGAUGUCAUUUAUUUGGUGUCGUGGGAAAUCAGGACUGUUACUUUGAAAAAAUUAGAGUGUUUAAAGCAGGCUCACGCUUGAAUACAUUAGCAUGGAAUAAUGAAAUAGGACGUUUGAUUCUAUUUUGUUGGUUUCUAGGAUCGACGUAAUGAUUAAUAGGGAUAGUUGGGGGCAUUAGUAUUCAAUUGUCAGAGGUGAAAUUCUUGGAUUUAUUGAAGACUAACUACUGCGAAAGCAUUUGCCAAGGAUGUUUUCAUUAAUCAAGAACGAAAGUUAGGGGAUCGAAGACGAUCAGAUACCGUCGUAGUCUUAACCAUAAACUAUGCCGACUAGGGAUCGGAUGAUGUUAAUUUUUAAUGUACUCA